This 406-nucleotide ribosomal RNA is filed under the name uncultured bacterium. Its description in RNAcentral is "partial 16S ribosomal RNA". It matches the Rfam family "Bacterial small subunit ribosomal RNA", at positions 30 to 526 of the family's 1533-position model. The record is from RNAcentral.
AUUGAACGCUGGCGGCAGGCUUAACACAUGCAAGUCGAGCGAGCGGCGGACGGGUGAGUAAUGUCUGGGAAACUGCCUGAUGGAGGGGGAUAAAUACUGGAAACGGUAGCUAAUACCGCAAACCAUCAGAUGUGGCCAGAUGGGAUUAGCGAGUAGGUGGGGUAAUGGCUCACCUAGGCGACGAUCCCUCGCGGGUCUGAGAGGAUGACCGGCAACUCUGUAACUGAUACCAGGUCCGUCUUCCGACGGGUGCAGGCAGGGGGGAAUAUUGCACAUUGGGGUCAAGCCUGAUGCAGACAUGCCCGUUGUGUGUAGAAGGCCUUCGGGUUGUAAAGCCCUUUCAGCGAGGAGGCGUUACUCGCAUAAGAAGCACCGGCUAACUCCGUGCCAGCAGCCGCGGUAAUUC